Molecule: long non-coding RNA, 531 nt
Filed under: Fukomys damarensis (Damara mole-rat)
Lineage: Eukaryota; Metazoa; Chordata; Mammalia; Rodentia; Bathyergidae
Description: lncRNA (ENSFDAG00000029524.1)
Source: RNAcentral
UUCAUCUUUGAGUGCUAUAGGGGAACGCUAGAAUGGACCACGUUCGAGUGUAACUGAUGAUGAGUUGGGGAAUUGGGAUCACGCGACAGAUGUGGACGAGACUGGAAGACCACCGAGAGGAACAGACACGGGGGUCCACGGAGGCAGAACAGGACGGCAGGAGAAGAGGGUGGUUGAAUUGGAAAAUAACUGCCCCCUUUUCUGUCCUGUGAGAACCUGUCACAGCAGCCACUUGGGAGACAGAAUCUCACCGUGCAUGCUUAGGGCUACAGGGACAGGGCCCAUUCCAGGGCUGCUCUGCCAAAGGAAAACACACCAAGCUCAGCAAAUUCAGCAGCCAUUUUCUGUCCCCUCCUCUGUUCCACCGGACUCAGCCCUCGCAGGACUGAAGGAAGGGAAGGGUAGAAAGCGUCCCAGAGAGAAAUGUUAAAGAGAGACAGUGAAGGAGAAGAAGGUCUCCGCCUCCUUCAUCCCCCCGCUGAAGGUGAGCUGACCCAGGUGAGCUUCUGGAUUAGGAGAUAAUUUAGAGGA